CGCGUAGGCGGACCGAUAAGUCAGAUGUGAAAUCCCGGGGCUCAACCCCGGAACAGCAUUUGAAACUAUCGAUCUAGAGGGUAGGAGGAGAAAAUGGAAUUCCACGUGUAGCGGUGAAAUGCGUAGAUAUGUGGAAGAACACCGGUGGCGAAGGCGAUUUUCUAUCUUAUACCUGACGCUGAGGCGCGAAAGCAAGAGGAUCAAACA
Molecule: ribosomal RNA, 207 nt
Filed under: uncultured bacterium
Lineage: Bacteria
Description: partial 16S ribosomal RNA
Rfam family: Bacterial small subunit ribosomal RNA
Source: RNAcentral